This 421-nucleotide ribosomal RNA is filed under the name uncultured bacterium. Its description in RNAcentral is "bacterial SSU rRNA". It matches the Rfam family "Bacterial small subunit ribosomal RNA", at positions 30 to 454 of the family's 1533-position model. The record is from RNAcentral.
AUUGAACGCUGGCGGAAUGCUUUACACAUGCAAGUCGAACGGCAGCACGGGGCAACCUGGUGGCGAGUGGCGAACGGGUGAGUAAUAUAUCGGAACGUGCCCAAUCGUGGGGGAUAACGUAGCGAAAGUUACGCUAAUACCGCAUACGAUCUACGGAUGAAAGCGGGGGAUCGCAAGACCUCGCGCGAAUGGAGCGGCCGAUAUCAGAUUAGGUAGUUGGUGGGGUAAAGGCUCACCAAGCCAACGAUCUGUAGCUGGUCUGAGAGGACGACCAGCCACACUGGAACUGAGACACGGUCCAGACUCCUACGGGAGGCAGCAGUGGGGAAUUUUGGACAAUGGGCGCAAGCCUGAUCCAGCCAUUCCGCGUGCAGGAUGAAGGCCUUCGGUGUAAACGUGCUUUGUACGGUAACGAAACGGU